Long non-coding RNA from Sarcophilus harrisii (Tasmanian devil), 7399 nucleotides. Lineage: Eukaryota; Metazoa; Chordata; Mammalia; Dasyuromorphia; Dasyuridae. The record is from Ensembl.
GUGAGAGGAUGGGGGAGGGUCUCUGCAGGGAAUGCUCCCUUCCCUUCUGGGCCUCGGGCUCCUCGGUAAAGUGAGGGGAGUUGGGCGAGUGCCCUGGAAGGCACCUCCCGGCUGCAGCCCCAGGGGGAGACCCCCCCGCCCCCCGAUAACUGGGUGACCUUGGCCAGGUUUCGAACCUCCCGGUGCAAGCCCUCUGACCGCCCGGAAAAGAUGCGCCCUUGGGAGCGAGCGCUGAGGGGAGGGCGGGGCCAGCACCUGGAAUCGAGGGCCGGGGGAGGGGGGCGGGGCCUCAAGGUCACCCAGGGACCAGCCCGUGACCUUCGCCAGGUCCUCCGCCAAAGCGGGGGCAGGCCGGGGCCCCUUAAGGUCGCCCUCCAGGGGAUUCAGGCCCCCCCCUCCCGACCCCGGCUGGACAGACCGUUCCGACCGCCGCGUGCUGGGGGCAGGGGAACAAAUCCCCGAGCGCACAGAGCUCUGGCCCAAUGCGACCACCAGGUGGCGCACGCACCCUGCCCGGGCCGUCCUUGCUCCCGGAAGCUCGCAAAGGGGCCUGAGCGCAGGGAAUGACGGGCCCUUCCGGGCCGGGGAAGAAGCGGGACCGCCGGCCUCCCUCCGGGUACUGGAGGCCCAAGUAAGGGGCGAGGCGUGGGCACGGGCCAGACCCGCGGGCUGAGCGCCAGCGCACCGGGCGAGCCGCGUCACCCCCGCGCGUGUAUCAGAAACCUCCCCCCCUUCGGGUUUGUGGGACGCGCCGCUCUCUCCUGGUUCUCCUCCUCCCUCUCUGACCACUGGUGUCCCCCUUGCUGGACCUUCCUCCAGAUCGCCCCUGUCGGGCCCUUUUCUCUGCGGACCGCUUCACCCGGAGAUCGCAUCAACUCCCGCGGACUUAAUUACCCUCCAUGUUGAGGAUUUCUCUUUUUCUGCCUUUCCUCCCUCUGCUGACCUUGAACUUUGCUUCCCCGAGCGCCUCUCGGGCAUUUCCUGCUGGGUGGCCAGUGGUUCGCUUAGACGCGUCCAAAACUGAAGUCCUAUCCUCCCCCUCAGCCUCCCUCACCUUCCCGUCCCUAUGACUGAAGAGACCAUCAUCCUCGGCCCCCAACCUCCCUCGCCUCCUGAGCCAUUGAAGAGUCCGCCCUUUGGUUCUUGGAAGCCAUCUAGUCCACGCCACACCUAGAGCAGAAUCCCUGGCCCAAACCUAACUCUGCUGGAGGCCCUGUGGUGCUGGGAGCCCAGGACUCCCCAAGUAGCCUCUUCCACUUGGGGAACUUCUGAUGGGGAAGAUGGAGGUCAGUGGAAUUGACGUUGGCUUCUAAUUGGCGGAUGGAUGAAUGAAUAAAACAAUUCAUUAGGUUCUUGACCAUGUACCUCAAGCGCUGUGCUUAGCUCUGGAAAUAGAGAUAUAAAGACAAAAGCUUUCCUUACUCUCAGGGAGCUUGGUCUCUGAUGGGGGCGACAUCACGUAGAGGGGUGGACCCUCUGGGAGGACAUUGGGUUUGGGAACUUGUAGAAAUGGUGAGUGGAACUAUAGGAGGCGGCCUUUCCGAUAGGAAUGGCCGGCGUGGGUUUGAGUAGAAUUAGAAAGGGGAGAGAAAAAAGGGGGGGAGGGCACAGCCACGUCCCAGGGUAAGAAGCUAGCUAAUACGUAAAGUGAGGCUGAACUACGAGAGGUGGUGUUCAAGAAGCACAGUGGCGGCUAUCAGGGCCAGGAAGGGUUAAGUCCCACAGGAUGUGGCCUCUAGUCCAGGCAGCGAAGAGACGGGGCGCUCCAGCCGUUCUUAAGCUUUUGCUCUUAAACUUUUAACACUCUUAAAAAAUUAUUGAAGAUUCUCUAAAGGGCUUUUGUUUACAUUGGUGAUCUCUCUCAAUAUCUGCUGUAUUAAAGAAUUGAACUGACAUUUUAAAAUAUUUAUUAACUAAUUUUAAAAUAAUAAAUUACAUGUUUAUGUAAAAUAGUUUCUGACAGUAAUUCUGUUUUCCGAAACAAUUAGAAGAAUCGCGUCGAGGGCACUAGGUGGCUCAGUGGAUAGAGCACCAACCCUGAAGUCAGGAGGACCUGAGUUCAAUUCUGUUAUCAGAUUCUUAACACUUCCUAGCUCUGUGACCCUGGGCAAGUCACUUAACCCCAAUUACCUCAGCAAAAAGCAAAAAUAAAAAAAAGAAAGAAAGAAGAAGAAGAAUCGCAUUGUUUUACCUGUUUUUACAAAUCUCUGUAAUGACCGGCUCAGUAGAAGACAAUUGGAUUCUCCUAUUUGCUUCUUUAUCCAUUCUGUUGGAAAUUUGCUGCUUUGGUUGAGAUACAUGGGGGAAAAAAUCCAGCCUAAUGAAGAUAAAUAGCUGGAAAAAGAAGAAUUUUUUUUAGAUUAUACUUUUUACAUGUCUCCAUAUGAGUUAAGUUGGGAGAGAAAAAUCAGAACAAAAGAGAAAAAACAAGAAAAGAAGGUGAAAAUAGUAUGCUUUGAUCUGUUCAGUCUGCUUGCAGAUGACAUUUUCCAACUCGAGUUUACUAUGGAUCGUCAAAUUGCUGAGAAGAGCCACAUCUGUCAUAAUUGAUCAUCACACAAUCUGGUUGUUGCCGUGUACGAUGAUCUCCUGGUUCUGCUCACUUCCCUCAGCAUCAGUUCAUGUAGGUCUCUCCAGGCCUCCCCGAAAUCCUCCUGGUGAUCCUUUCUUAAAGAAUAAUGAUAUUCCAUCACAUUUAUAUACAAUAACCUAUUCAGUCCUUCCCCAACUGAUAAGCAUCCACUCAGUUUCCAGCUUCUUUCCAUACAAAAAGAGUUGCCGCAAACAUUUUUGCACAUGUGGGUCCCUUUCCCUCCUUUAAGAUCUCUUUGGGAUAUAAUCACAGUAGAAGUACUGCUGGGUCAAAGGGGAUGCACAGUUUAAUAGCCCUUUGGACAUAGUUCCAAGUUGCUCUCCAAAAUGGUUGGAUCAUUUCACAACUCCACCAACAAUGCGUUAGUAUUUCACUUUUCUCCACAUCCCUGCUAACAUUUAUCAUCUUUUCCUGUCAUUUUAGCCAAUCUGAGAGGUGUGAAGUGGUACCUCAGAGCUGUCUUAAUUUGCAUUUCCCUAAUCAGUAGCGAUUCAGAGCAUUUUUAAUAUGAUUUGAUGCCUCUAAUAAGGAGGAAUAUUUUAAUAGUCAAUGCCUCAUAAGUAUCGUUGCUGAGUUGUUUUUUAGUUGUGUCCGACUCUUCAUGACCUGACCAGAGGGAUUUGCCAUUUCUCUCUCCAGUUCAUUUUAUAGAUGAGAAAAACUGAGGCAAACACGGUGAAGUGACAUGCCCAGGGUCACACAGCUAAUAGGUAUCGGAGGCUGAAUUUGAACCCAAGAAGAUGAGUCUUUCCAACCCAGGCCCAGCACUCUAUCCAUCAUUCUGCUUAGCUCCCCACAUCUUGUCAGUAUUUUUCGGUGUUAAAAUACUCGGGAGUUCAGCCUCAUCUGAAGCCUGAGAAGAAUGACCAGAGCAGGAAUCCCAGACCCAAGAGCCAGUUCCAUCACUGAAGCCUCAGAGCCUUCCAGCUGGCUUCCAGUCCACUCUGCUAAACAAGUAUUAAGUGUCUAGACAAGCAGGGCUGGAGACACAAUCAAUAAAGCUACUCCCUGCCCUAAAGGAGCUUACAAUCUGAAAGCUUACAACUCCACAAGGAGGCAGGAGGGAGGGGGAACUGGAGCCAUGGAACCAAGCAGGGCAGCAGAUGCACAGUGGAGGGAGCCCCCUGUAGAGGAAACCACCCGAGUCUAAUGGCACCUUGCCCAGGGGCGACCCUAUGGUUGUGUCGCUCAGACUUAAACCUAGGUGGGGAACUUGUAAAACCCAAACCAGGGACUCAGCAAUUGGAUUCUGCCCUGCAUCAGACCGCUUUGGGUGCCCUGAAAACCUGCAGGUCCCCAGUCUGAGCUGCCCCCGUGAUCUGGCGAUAGGGCAACACUCGAGAAAGCCCCAGAAGGACGAGAGGAGGCAAAACUCUCCUCCAGAAGCAAGCAGAGCUCAUCCUAACAAAGUCUGAAGUCAGAAAGCAGACUGGGAAAAGGAGCGACUAAAGAAGAAUCCCAUCAACAAAGAGCAUGUUAUGGUGACAGGGAUGUGUACACACAUACACACACACACACACACACACACACACACACAGCAACAACGAAAGAAUACUGGAACGGGAGUCCGUAAGACCCGUGUUCAAAUUCUGCCUCAGAUACCUUCUGGCUGUGAUCCUCAGCAUGUGACUUAACCUUUGUUUCCUCAACUAUAAAAUGUGGAUGAUCAUAAACUCCUCCCAGAGUUGUGGUGAGGAUCAAAUGAGAUAAUAGUUGUAAAGUGCUUAACAUAGACCCUGACAGGCAGUAAGCACUAUGUAAAUGCUGUUGUCAUUAUUGUUUUUAUAUCCUACAGAAGAGAAUGAUCCCAAAGCAUCUGGACAUGAGUUCAAUUAGAAUUCAUGGAAAAGAUAAAACAGGAGUGUUGCUUUUUUUGUUUUUAAACAGUUUUUUUUUUUUUUUAAUAUUUUGCUAAAUAAAGUGCUAGAGGGGGAAAUGAAAAAAGAUUGAGGACUUUGGAAGAAAGAAUUGGAAAGAGAAUCAACAGCUUGACAUUAGAAGUAAAAGCCUUAUCCAAAUUACAAACUAUGAAAAUGAGAAUGGAUCAAAUGGAAGAUAAUGACUCAUAAAAGACAAUAAGAAAUGUUUCAUGGUUGACUGAAAAGAAAAUAUGAAAAAUAGGCAUGUCAUGGCAAAACAACUGACUUGGGAGACGAGUCUAUGACAGUCAACAAGAAAUUAUUAAAUGCUUGCUCUGUAUCAGACAUUGUGUUAAGCAAUGGAGGUACAAUUAAUUAUAAGCAAGGAGGAAAACAAGCCUUGACUUCAAGAAGGUUAUGAUCUAAUAGAAGAAAUUAAAUAAAAGAGAGGCAGAAAAGCAGAAAGGAGGAGGAGGAGGUACAAUUAAUUACAGGCAGGGAGAAAAACAAUCCUUGACUUCAAGAAAUAUAUUCUAAUAGAAAUUAAAUAAAUGAGGGGCUGAAAAGCAGAAGGGAGGAAGAAGAGGUACUCGGGCAGAGGCAAGAGAAUGAUCCUGGGCUCUUUUCCAAAAUGGAGGGUCCAGGAAAAAUUCAUCAAUGGGAGGAGAGACUUGCAGGAGGGGAGUCAAGAAGCAGCUGAAGCAUCAUGGUGUGCUCAUCUUAUUUCAAGAAAUUUUUUAAGCCCAGUCCCUAUUUCUUAGAAUCAGAAGGUAAAGUGGGAAUAGAAAAAAAAAAAUCUCCAAAUGAAAACUUCUGGUUACAUUAGAGUCAAAACCUAGAGCUUCCAGGUCAAAGGGAAAAUAUUGCAAACAGCAAAGAAAGAAUUCAAGUAGCAAAAAGCUUCACUUAAGAGCAAACGCAAUUUAGCCCCCAUCACUAUAAAGAAGUGGAAGCUUGGAAUAUUAAUCUUCCCUCCUUCCCCCCUCCCUCCCCAUUCCACCUCACCCCCUAGGAAUAUACUCAGUUUUGUUGGGUAAGUUAGCAGCAAGGUGGCCCAGUGGCUAGAGCUGUGGACCUGGAGUCAGGAAAACUCAUCUUCAUGAUGAGACACUUGCUAGCUCUCUGACUAGAGGCCAAUCACUUAACUCAGUUUGCCUCAGUUUCCUCACCUGUAAAAUGAGCUGGAGAAGGAAAUGACCAAGGAUCUUUGUCAAGAAAACCCUAAGUGGGGUCCCAAAGUCAGACAAGUCUGCUGGGAUUGUCUUGGAUCACUGUAUGGCUGAGAAGAGCUGAGUCUCAUAGCUGAUCGGCACAUAAUCUUGCUUUUACUGUGCACGUUCUCCUGGUUCUGUCACCCAGCAUCCAUCCGUUCAUGUCAGUCUCUCCAGGUUUUUCUGACAUCUGCCUGCUCAUCAUUUCUUCUGGCACAACAGCGUUCCAUCACAACAAUAUAUCCCAGUCUAUUCAUCCAUUGCCCAGUUGAUGGGAAUCCCCCCCAUUUUCCAAUUCUUUGCUACCACAAAGAGACACUGAAAUAUUUACACAAAGUUUUUUUGCACGUGUGAGUCCUUUCCCCUCCUCAACGAUUUCCUUGGGAUACAGAUCUAGUAGAGACAUUUCUGGGUCAAAGGGUAUAUACAACGUUUGCAGCCUUUUGGACAUGGUUCCAAUUUGCUCUCCAGAGUGAUUGGAUCAUCUCACAACUCCACCAACAAUGUAUCAGUGCCCCAGUUUUCCCACAUCCCCUCCAAUAUUUAUCAUCUUAGUCAAUCUGAGAGGUGUGAGAUGGUACCUCGGAGUUAUUUUAAGUCGUAUUUCUCUAAUACAGAUUUAGAGCAUUUGUUUAUGUUUCGAAUUUGGAGUCGAGUUUUUAAAAGUUUAGAAUUACCAGGAAACCAAAGAAUAGGGGAAAUAAAGGCGUCCUUUCCCCAGCCUCGUUCUACCCACGGACCUCGGGGGAAGGAGUCUGUGACUCCAGGUUGGGACCCGCUGCCCUGGAGCUCCAAGCUGUGAGAGACAAGUUUCCUGGCUGGGAUCAUCCUGGCUUUGUGGAUCAGGGACAUAAUUAGGAUAUGAGCUAUCAGAGAGCGGAGGGAUUAAGGUCCGAGGAGGAAGGGGACGUUUAUUCUGGAGGUUCGGAAUUUCACCUUCUAGAGUCCGUUCUCAGUCCCCGCCGUCGGCUCCCCAAGCCCCCGAUCUGUAGUCUAAGAUCGCUUGCCAGGGGAAGCCUUCCCAGUCCCGGCACCUGACCGCGGGACCUCUGGCAGUGUUCCUCCGCUAUCGCUGGUCCCUCUCAGCUCUCCCCGGCCCCGGACACUGGCUUCACUGUUACCUCCCCCUCCUGGGGCAGGUGGGAGCCAAAGUGGCCAUGCGGCGGGGGGGGGUCCGGGCGGAGGUGCCCGUGAGUGAAGCAGCCCAUUGUCUGGGGCCAGGGCCGGGCACAGAGGAGGAGUGUGUGUCCCUCUGUGCCUCCAGCGGCAGCCGGGCUCCUGUCUCCAAGGAAACCCCCCUUGCAGUAAGAAGCAUCCUGAGCAGGGGCUGCCGCCCAUCUCCUUCUCCAGAGGGCGCGGGGGGAGGGGAGCGCCAUUUCUUCUCUCCACAGAGCCCUCUUGCCUCAGCCUGCAGGUGCCGGGAAGUGGGGGGUGAAAGGGAUCAGCGGCAGGAUUCCUGGGGCCCCGGAGCCAAGAGCCCCGCGGAGCGCGCCAGGGCUUCCUGCUGGGCGCACACUGGGGCCUUGUCCCGGCUCCGGGACGCGGGGGCGCCGCAGGUGGGGGACAGAGCCCAGCGCCAGGAAGCCGGAGCCUCCGGAGGAGGGAGCUGUCCAGCGCGGCCAGGAGCCGAGUCCCGGGCCAGCCCAUCCUUCUGGAAACCGGCUCUCCCUCCAGUCCCACGGCUGGAACCUGGGCUGCCAUUUCAGUGUCCCGGAGGCUCAUCCCCCACUCGUGAC